RNAcentral lists this ribosomal RNA (253 nucleotides) under uncultured bacterium. RNAcentral describes it as "partial 16S ribosomal RNA". It matches the Rfam family "Bacterial small subunit ribosomal RNA", at positions 524 to 776 of the family's 1533-position model. The record is from RNAcentral.
UACGAAGGGGGCUAGCGUUAAUCGGAAUUACUGGGCGUAAAGCGUGCGCAGGCGGUUGUGCAAGACAGAUGUGAAAUCCCCGGGCUUAACCUGGGAAUUGCAUUUGUGACUGCACGGCUAGAGUGUGUCAGAGGGGGGUAGAAUUCCACGUGUAGCAGUGAAAUGCGUAGAUAUGUGGAGGAAUACCGAUGGCGAAGGCAGCCCCCUGGGAUAACACUGACGCUCAUGCACGAAAGCGUGGGGAGCAAACAGG